CCUAACAGAGACGUGACCGACCGCAUAAACCGAUCAGUGGCGAAGAGGAAAAAAGUAAAAGUUUACUAUAAACAAAAAUUAAUUCUCAUCAAUCACCUGGACUCCAGGUGAUUGAUGAAGUAACGAAGCGAAGCGUGUGUGUCGGACUGGAUCAUUAUCCUCGCCUCCAGUCCGUUUAAACAGUAAAUCUCGACGGACGUGUCAGUCUUUACUCCAGCUGUGGCAAACGAUAUAUAUCAUUUUAUCAUUACAUAAACCUACAAACAUUUAGAGUUUACAUACCACACGAUGGAAAUCAACUGCUCUUGUGCUUCAAGAAAUGAAGAUAUUAGAACCCAGGAAUUAUGGAUGAAGUUUUCCAAAUGAAGCAAACAUUGGGACGGACAUCUAAAGAGGUUUCAGGUAAACCUUGGCCAGGUGGCCUUGGAGGUAGAGGCGGGAGGCAGCUAGGGAGCGGAUGGCCAGUGUGAGCAUCUCUGCAGCAUGUUGGGUGAGGACUGGUAACUCCGCAGUCAGCAGGCUAUUGAGGGACAUGUAGGCUCCCUUCACCUCCAUAUCCUCAUCUUCCUGAACAGGUUCAACCACUCCACUUUCCCACCAUCUCAUACCUGACCGAUGAUACCCAGCUUCUGGGAGAGUAUGGUAGACAUCCUCGCAGACUUCUUGGCGAUUGAAUGAAGGUUGACGCGUCGUAUCUUGCCAUGGAGGGAGUCGUCGACAUCACUCCGUAGAGGGAGGACCUCAACACUGUAAGUGGAGCAGUACACCUUAUAGACCUGACACAGCUCUGACUUGAACUGCAGGAACACCCACCCAAUCAACAUGUCUUCAUCACUAUGCUGCUGUUCUUGUUCCAGCUUGUU
This 863-nucleotide long non-coding RNA is filed under the name Homarus americanus (American lobster). Its description in RNAcentral is "uncharacterized LOC121858538, transcript variant X7". Lineage: Eukaryota; Metazoa; Arthropoda; Malacostraca; Decapoda; Nephropidae. The record is from RNAcentral.